CCACGUCAUUUGUGAGCAAGAAGAAAUGUUCUCCGAGGCCAUAGACUUUUCUGAAGCAGCUUGCUUGUGUUUAUUAAUAUACUAUGUUUUCAACAUGGCAUAUCCUGAUGCAGCUGCAGCAUCACUCUAAUUCUUGAAAAGACAAAUUUUCGACAUAAAUCCCGUGAAGGGGACCAAAUGGAAGGGGGGCCAAAAGUCCCGAACUCCAGUUCAUUCGAAGAUAAUGAAAUUGGCACAAGCCCUUCGUGCAGACAUCUGAACAUCGACGCCCAGAGGGAAGGAGUGACAGCACAUGUAUAUUUUGUCAAUACAGCUGCUUUUGUGUGAUC
Molecule: long non-coding RNA, 329 nt
Organism: Dermacentor silvarum
Lineage: Eukaryota; Metazoa; Arthropoda; Arachnida; Ixodida; Ixodidae
Exons: 3
Source: RefSeq, a predicted model, not a curated record